UGCGUCUCCUCCCUGGCGCUGGUAUGUUGCGUCAUGAUAUCAACCCAUCAUAUGUCAAGCCAUACAUCUAGGCAUUGGGAGGAUUCCAAGCAUUUUUAAAGGUUAACACUAGUAAUUUUCUUUUUUUUUCCGUAUCGUCAGUAUAUCCUAUGAAAAUACCGAUAUAUAACGAAAAUAAACGAUAAUGUGUCUGUCGAACUCUCAAUGAAUUUAUCCUCCGAACAAUUACUUGUUCGUCUGGCCAAACGCCGAUAUACCGGAAGUCAUAGAACUCCAUUGUUGUCCAAAAAAGUUCUGAAACGAAAAUGGAAGAUGCCCAACGGCGUUUCAAGUCAGCUAAAUAGAAGAGGAUUGGAUAGGUGCUGAACAGCCAGCCGACGUGUGGUGAGCAUUCUGGUGCAAAAUGGCUGCCAUGCAUCACCCAGGUGGGUGCUACACAUUGGAGGUAGCUGAGAGAAAACUGGAUGCAGGACUGGACUGCAGACAGGAAAAGUGAUAGAAAUCAAUUGGAACAGGUACAGGGGGCCAGACCUGUAAGAUGAAGCCAGCUGCAAUGAAAUACUUUACUGAAGCAGAAACAGCGGCGCUGUCCCGUCCCGCGUCGUACGGAAAACGCGCACGCACGCGAAAACGCUGACUACAGGGCGAUCACACCAGCUACAGGGCGACCACGCCGGCUACAGGGUGACCACACCGGCUACAGGGCGACCACACCGGCUACAGGGCGACCACACCAGCUACAGGGCGACCACACCAGCUACAGGGCGACCACGCCAG
Long non-coding RNA from Anguilla rostrata (American eel), 777 nucleotides. RefSeq lists it as uncharacterized. The transcript is spliced from 4 exons. NCBI's taxonomy places the organism in Eukaryota, Metazoa, Chordata, Actinopteri, Anguilliformes, Anguillidae. The record is from RefSeq and is a predicted model, not a curated record.